UGAUGGUAUUCUACCACUGAAAUUAUUGUUCGAAAUGACACCCGCAAGUCAUCGAGGUAUACCGCCGUGGUAUGGUAUCCUUCA
Molecule: microRNA precursor, 84 nt
Filed under: Picea abies (Norway spruce)
Lineage: Eukaryota; Viridiplantae; Streptophyta; Pinopsida; Pinales; Pinaceae
Description: miR1313a stem-loop (pab-MIR1313a, pab-MIR1313b)
Source: miRBase by way of RNAcentral